CUACACGGGUAUCUAAUCCUGUUUGCUCCCCACGCUUUCGCACCUCAGCGUCAGUAUCGAGCCAGUGAGCCGCCUUCGCCACUGGUGUUCCUCCGAAUAUCUACGAAUUUCACCUCUACACUCGGAAUUCCACUCACCUCUCUCGAACUCAAGACUAGCAGUAUCAAAGGCAGUUCCAGGGUUGAGCCCCGGGAUUUCACCUCUGACUGACUAAUCCGCCUACGCGCGCUUUACGCCCAGUAAUUCCGAACAACGCUAGUCCCCUCCGUAUUACCGCGGCUGCUGGCAC
RNAcentral lists this ribosomal RNA (289 nucleotides) under uncultured Paracoccaceae bacterium. RNAcentral describes it as "uncultured Rhodobacteraceae bacterium partial 16S ribosomal RNA". Lineage: Bacteria; Pseudomonadati; Pseudomonadota; Alphaproteobacteria; Rhodobacterales; Paracoccaceae. The record is from RNAcentral.